GAAUCUGCUCUUUGAAGAGUUCCAAAUGGCAUUGUUCUUAUGACUGAUACAUUGAAAUCCAUGGCUGUAGUCCUGACGGAUCUAAGCGCUGCGUUUGAUUUGUUAGAACAUUCUUAUGGUCCUCAUGCACGGAUGCUAGUUAACCACAUUUUGUGUAUUAAUCCUACGCUUUAAAUAAAAGUCGACUCUUUUACUUUCAACCCUUUUAGUCAUUUAAGAGCAGCAUGCAUCCACUAGUUCAAUGCAUGCUUUCAUAGAUUCAAUAUUGAAAUUUCUUUUUGUUAGAAUAAUAAUAAGGGCUAACUGACCCCACAAUGACACAAUUAGCCACAGAUUGAAAAUAUGAAUGUCAUGCUGUUCAAUCUCUAUUGCCGAUGUGAUUAUUUCAUGAGGUCCAAACUAAAGUCUGUAUAUCUGACAGUAUCCUGAGAUGUGCUGCUAUGCCAGACUGUUUCUGAAUAUCAGUGCCAGUUCCAGCCCAGCCUGUGUGCUCUGUGUGUGUAAAGGGCUCAUUCCAGCUCUGUCUGUCUACUUGGUGUGAGUAUACAGUGCUUGUUCCAGCUCAGUCUGUGUGCCUGGUGUGUAUCAGCAGCUGCUGGCUCUGUAGAGGUGCAAACAUUCACCAACUGUUCAGUACGGAGCAGUGAAUCUUGUUGCUAAGGUAACAGUCCAUCUCGAGCACAGGUACAGUGAACUUGUUCAGGAGUCAAAGAAUGACAUUGAAUUAUGAAAGCUGAGUGGACUUAGUCUAAAGAAUACGUUUACUGUCCUGGAAACUGAAACAGCAUGCAGAGAUAAUGAAGCAGUUUCAUUGUCGUUGAAGUUGGCUAAGAUUUGAUUUAAUUCUAGGCUAAAACCAGGUUGUUAUGAUCACCAUUACUAUACGCUUACAUUUUUACAAUUACAGUAGAUAAAUACAAUUUAAUUCAAACUAAAUUGUCAGAAGAACACUUUUUAAUCGCAUACUCUCUUGCUCCUGUGUCUAGUCUGCCUCAUCUGUCCCCUGUAGUUUUCGAGUUUUUAAUUGGGUUGAACUUUGGAGGAGGUGUUAUUUGUUACAUAAAUAUGUUCUGAAUUAAAUGAUUAGGUCAGGAAUAGAAAUGAUUCAACAUCUCUGCCUAUAAUUUUACCAGUAAUGUAAUAAACAGCAUUAGAUAUAACUUAUAAAUAGGUAAACAGUGUGGUGUGAAGUUCUUUAAUAAAAAAAAAAAAUAAAAAAAAAAAUAAAAAUUUUUGUUGGCGUGGUUUAAGAUGGAAUAAAACAUUUCGGGACAUGCUGUUAUAGGAAAAUAAUCAACUUUAGAGGGGAAAAAAAACCAUCACACUACCUGUUAUUGAUCAUUUACCUAUAACAACACCUUGGGUAUAACCUACUGAAAAAUGUUUGGAUGUUCUAGUGCUGCUGUGAGUCACCUAGGAAAGCUUAAAUUAAAGCAAAAAUGUCAAUUAAAAGCUGUCAGGAAAGGCAAUAUGUUGUUCCACACUGGCUCCACAACUGUAGAUGUGACUUUUUAACCAACCAGGCACAGUCAUCCAUGGACUUGGCUGUGAAGUACUAGGCAUUCCUAGCUCUGUCCACUAGGGGCACUAUUGGACAAAGCUACUGAUAACCCUCAGCAUGCUUAAAAAAAAAAAAAGAAAGAAAGAAAAAAAGAAAGAAAAUAAAAAAGAUGAAAACAGCUCCUAGUAUUGCAACAAUUAUCUCCAGAUCCAGGAUACAGUGCCCAUUGAAGAUGGAGGAAUGAAUAUUUUAAACAUGUUACAUGUGGGUUUAUAUUUAUAUUUAUGGCAUUUAACAGACUCCAUAACCAGAGCGACUUACAUUUACCUGAUUCAUACAACUGAGCAGUUGAGGGUUAAGAGCCUUACUCAAAGCUGCCACUGCAGGGAUUUUAACUUAUGACCUUCCAAUAAGGUUUAAAUGAAAGGCACAAUCAGCAUUGAGUACAUGCUACAGUAGCUGUGUUUAGCAUUGCUGUCACUAUAGUUACCUGAAUGAGAUUUCUGUCAAAACCCAAGAGGACUUAAUGUGCCUGUACACACACAAACCAUACACCUAACUGAGAAACACAAAAAAGGGUGAACAUUCAUCUUGAUCACUUGAUCUUGAAUCCACUUGAUCUUCCAAAAGAUUUCAUAAUACAAUAGCCUUAGGCUUUAAAGCAAACACACACACAAAAAAACACUGAAAACGACCCAUCGAUCACGCUCGAAAUGAAAGUUUAAAGUUCUGCAAAUGCAUAUGCAAAUUGAGUUCAAGAACCACACGCCCACAUUAGUAUACAAUCGGUUCAAAUAACCGUAAGUUGUUUUUCUCGCUAGUUUUGUGAGCACUUACAAAAUAAUAGCAAAUUUAACCAGGGACGUGCAUAGAUAGUUUGUGGGGCAGGGGCUCAUGUGGGAAAAAGGGCACUUCUCAUAAUUAUUUAUUUAAAAACAUUUUAAAAAUCAUAAAACGAAAUGUUAGAUAUAUUAACCCAACUCUGACUUCCUUACCAAUUUAUUUUAAUUCCCUCACACUCACGCAAUUAUUUCAUACUCAACAGAUUUCUACAAAAUAAUCAGCUCACACAGAGACCGUGGUCUUCUUUAGUAUUUCACUAUGUUUAUCACAAGAGCAGGCAACAGCAAAGGAAACUAUGACACAAUGUUUUCAAUGCCACUAGUUUCAAGUAUAUAUUUAGAAUAAAUGACUGCACCAAGGAGACACAGUUUCACUAAUAAUUUCUUUAUUUUGCACAAGGCAAUAAACCGUUUUAAUUCUUUUGGUGUCAUUGGAAUACAUAACACUUCAAAAUAAACAAAAAUCUUCACACUAAACUGCCAAAAUACACCUUUAGAUUCAUGUUUGUUUUAAGCCUGCUACCCUCAGUCUGUUUUCAUCUGUGGAUUUCUUCUAAAUGAAUCAAAACAAGCUAAUCUGCAGAUUUAAACAUAACAUUUCAGGGGAAAAGACUCUUGAUGUUAAGUCAUUAACUGAGGAACUUCUGUGCUUUAGUAAUUUUGUUUAUCCUAUUCACCUGCAGUGCCUUAUCAAAUGUAUGCAAAUUAGCAUGUUUUAAUUAGUCAACGCCUAAUUUGCAUAUGAAUGUGGCGAUUGUGAUGACGUUAUUAGACAGAAAUUUGACUGUAU
This is a long non-coding RNA of Ictalurus punctatus (channel catfish), 3133 nucleotides long. Lineage: Eukaryota; Metazoa; Chordata; Actinopteri; Siluriformes; Ictaluridae. The record is from Ensembl.